This 533-nucleotide ribosomal RNA is filed under the name Talaromyces verruculosus. RNAcentral's name for it is "eukaryotic LSU rRNA". The stretch from base 181 to 334 matches the Rfam family "5.8S ribosomal RNA". The record is from RNAcentral. Lineage: Eukaryota; Fungi; Ascomycota; Eurotiomycetes; Eurotiales; Trichocomaceae.
UACCGAGUGCGGGCCCUCGCGGCCCAACCUCCCACCCUUGUCUCUAUACACCUGUUGCUUUGGCGGGCCCACCGGGGCCACCUGGUCGCCGGGGGACGCACGUCCCCGGGCCCGCGCCCGCCGAAGCGCUCUGUGAACCCUGAUGAAGAUGGGCUGUCUGAGUACUAUGAAAAUUGUCAAAACUUUCAACAAUGGAUCUCUUGGUUCCGGCAUCGAUGAAGAACGCAGCGAAAUGCGAUAAGUAAUGUGAAUUGCAGAAUUCCGUGAAUCAUCGAAUCUUUGAACGCACAUUGCGCCCCCUGGCAUUCCGGGGGGCAUGCCUGUCCGAGCGUCAUUUCUGCCCUCAAGCACGGCUUGUGUGUUGGGUGUGGUCCCCCCGGGGACCUGCCCGAAAGGCAGCGGCGACGUCCGUCUGGUCCUCGAGCGUAUGGGGCUCUGUCACUCGCUCGGGAAGGACCUGCGGGGGUUGGUCACCACCAUGUUUUUACCACGGUUGACCUCGGAUCAGGUAGGAGUUACCCGCUGAACUUAAG